Long non-coding RNA from Leptinotarsa decemlineata (Colorado potato beetle), 222 nucleotides. The record is from RefSeq and is a predicted model, not a curated record. NCBI's taxonomy places the organism in Eukaryota, Metazoa, Arthropoda, Insecta, Coleoptera, Chrysomelidae.
GAGAGUGAGAGUGAACUGCAUAGUUGCCAAGUUGGGGAAAAUUUCCGGAGAUCUAGGGAUUUUUACUCGACAAUGCAAUUUUGUCAAGGAAUCAUCUCAAAGAUGACUACAAAAUGAAGAUGAUUCCAAAUCACACGAAAUCGAGACUGAAGAUUUCAGCUUCAAAUAUACAAUUCCUGGUACGGGAUUGAAACCAGAAGUCCAUAUGUUAUUAAUCGUUCC